GCUUGUCUCAAAGAUUAAGCCAUGCAUGUCUAAGUACAAGCCUCAGUAAGGUGAAACCGCGAAUGGCUCAUUAAAUCAGCUAUUGUUUAUUUGAUAGUACCUCACUACUUGGAUAACCGUAGUAAUUCUAGAGCUAAUACAUGCGAAAAGACGCGACUCACGAAGCGUUGUAUUUAUUAGAUACAAAACCAAUGCGGGGCAACCCGGUAUAAGGUGAUUCAUAAUAACUUUGCGAAUCGCAUGGCCUUGUGCCGGCGAUGAAUCAUUCAAAUUUCUGCCCUAUCAACUUUCGAUGGUAAGGUAUUGGCUUACCAUGGUCGCAACGGGUAACGGGGAAUAAGGGUUCGAUUCCGGAGAGGGAGCCUGAGAAAUGGCUACCACAUCCAAGGAAGGCAGCAGGUUG
This 403-nucleotide ribosomal RNA is filed under the name uncultured Salpingoecidae. RNAcentral's name for it is "partial small subunit ribosomal RNA". It matches the Rfam family "Eukaryotic small subunit ribosomal RNA", at positions 30 to 434 of the family's 1831-position model. Lineage: Eukaryota; Choanoflagellata; Craspedida; Salpingoecidae. The record is from RNAcentral.